RNAcentral lists this ribosomal RNA (500 nucleotides) under uncultured bacterium. RNAcentral describes it as "partial 16S ribosomal RNA". It matches the Rfam family "Bacterial small subunit ribosomal RNA", at positions 30 to 523 of the family's 1533-position model. The record is from RNAcentral.
AUUGAACGCUGGCGGCAGGCUUAACACAUGCAAGUCGAGCGGGGGAAGGUAGCUUGCUACCGGACCUAGCGGCGGACGGGUGAGUAAUGCUUAGGAAUCUGCCUAUUAGUGGGGGACAACAUCUCGAAAGGGAUGCUAAUACCGCAUACGUCCUACGGGAGAAAGCAGGGGAUCUUCGGACCUUGCGCUAAUAGAUGAGCCUAAGUCGGAUUAGCUAGUUGGUGGGGUAAAGGCCCACCAAGGCGACGAUCUGUAGCGGGUCUGAGAGGAUGAUCCGCCACAGUGGGGCUGAGACACGGCCCAGACUCCUACGGGAGGCAGCAGUGGGGAAUAUUGGACAAGGGGGGAACCCUGAUCCAGCCAUGCCGCGUGUGUGAAGAAGGCCUUAUGGUUGUAAAGCACUUUAAGCGAGGAGGAGGCUACUCUAGUUAAUACCUAGGGAUAGUGGACGUUACUCGCAGAAUAAGCACCGGCUAACUCUGUGCCAGCAGCCGCGGUAA